GACGAACGCUGGCGGCGUGCUUAACACAUGCAAGUCGAACGGAAAGGCCCUGCUUUUGUGGGGUGCUCGAGUGGCGAACGGGUGAGUAACACGUGAGUAACCUGCCCUUGACUUUGGGAUAACUUCAGGAAACUGGGGCUAAUACCGGAUAGGAGCUCCUGCUGCAUGGUGGGGGUUGGAAAGUUUCGGCGGUUGGGGAUGGACUCGCGGCUUAUCAGCUUGUUGGUGGGGUAGUGGCUUACCAAGGCUUUGACGGGUAGCCGGCCUGAGAGGGUGACCGGCCACAUUGGGACUGAGAUACGGCCCAGACUCCUACGGGAGGCAGCAGCGGGGAAUAUUGCACGAUGGGCGGCAGCCUGAUGCAGCAACGCCGCGGGCGGGAUGACGGCCUUCGGGUUGUAAACCGCUUUCGCCUGUGACGAAGCGUGAGUGACGGUAAUGGGUAAAGAAGCACCGGCUAACUACGUG
This 468-nucleotide ribosomal RNA is filed under the name uncultured bacterium. Its description in RNAcentral is "partial 16S ribosomal RNA". It matches the Rfam family "Bacterial small subunit ribosomal RNA", at positions 28 to 507 of the family's 1533-position model. The record is from RNAcentral.